CACAUACUCCCUCCGUCUCAAAAUUAUUGUCUUGAAUUUGUCUAGAUAUGGAUGUAUGUAGUCACGUUUUAGUAUUUAAAUGCAUCCAUAUCUAAAAACAUCUAAGACAAGAAUUUUGGAACGGAGGGGUACUUU
Molecule: non-coding RNA, 135 nt
Organism: Hordeum vulgare subsp. vulgare (domesticated barley)
Lineage: Eukaryota; Viridiplantae; Streptophyta; Magnoliopsida; Poales; Poaceae
Source: Rfam